Nothobranchius furzeri (turquoise killifish) is the source of this 956-nucleotide non-coding RNA. The record is from RefSeq and is a predicted model, not a curated record. NCBI's taxonomy places the organism in Eukaryota, Metazoa, Chordata, Actinopteri, Cyprinodontiformes, Nothobranchiidae.
CCAGCGGCUGCAGCCGGAUCAACGUUCCUGCUCGGCUGUUAAGUGACAUCUCCUCUGUAGAGGUGUCCUCAUCCUUCUCCAGGAAAACCACGACUCACAGGGUGUUCUCCUCUCAUGGCAUUUACUGAUAGCUGGAGUUCAACUUCCUGCUGGUGGAAGGAGGUCCACUUUAUGCUGCAAUGGCUUUGUACCUGGAGUGCUGAGGAGAGCCCACUGCUUUUAAACAUUCCCAGAUCCAGACUCCGAACCAGAGGUUAACGGCGCGUGUUAAGUAUUCCUCUAGACCCGAGAGGUUUAAACAGCUGAUCCAGUUAAAUCAAUCAUUUAUUUUAGUUCAAGCAGCAGAGCUUUCCUUUUUAGUUUACUAGAUUAUUUUAUCAUAUUUGUUUAGUUUAACGUGGGUUUUGAGUUCAUUUUUGUUUCUUAGUGUUGUUCAGUCAUUUUAUCAUUUACAUUUUGUUCAUAGUUAUUCUAUCCAUCCAUCAACCAUCCACCCUCAAUCCAUUCAUUCAUCCAUUCAUUCAUUCAUUUGUUCAUUCAUUCAUUCAUUCAUUCAUUAAUCAUCCAUCCAUCUAUAAUCCUUCAUCCAUCCAUCCAUCCAUCCACCUCUCCAGCUCCUCCCGGAGGAUUUCAAGGUGUUGGAGCUACACUUCCUUCCCCUGAGUUUGGGGUCUAGCCUAGGGUCUUCUUGCCAUGCUGACACUCUCCAGGGAAUGCUGGAACCACCUCGGCUGACUCCUUAUGAUGUAGAGGAGUUCCUCACCUUACUCCCAAGGCUGAACCCAGCCAUCUAAUGGAGCAGGAUCUUUAGGUUAUGGUCUUCCUCUGCAGACCAGACAAUGUUCUUCUGUAAUUGUCUUCACAUCUAGACUGAAACCCUGGUUUUAUUAGCUGCCUUUUGGUGCUCUGUGAGGCUGGGACUGCUUUUAUUCCCUUGUAUAAAAUGUUUUUAUUGC